This 85-nucleotide transfer RNA is filed under the name Chloroflexota bacterium. Its description in RNAcentral is "Chloroflexi bacterium tRNA-Leu". It matches the Rfam family "tRNA". From Rfam's summary of the family: Transfer RNA (tRNA) molecules are approximately 80 nucleotides in length. Their secondary structure includes four short double-helical elements and three loops (D, anti-codon, and T loops). The record is from RNAcentral. RNAcentral also lists the same sequence under 1 other name. Lineage: Bacteria; Bacillati; Chloroflexota.
GGGGAAGUGUCGGAAUCGGCAGACGAGCGCGGCUUAGAACCGCGUGCCGCAAGGCGUAGGAGUUCGAGUCUCCUCUUCCCCACCA